This 1034-nucleotide long non-coding RNA is filed under the name Phasianus colchicus (ring-necked pheasant). Its description in RNAcentral is "lncRNA (ENSPCLG00000004555.1)". The record is from RNAcentral. Lineage: Eukaryota; Metazoa; Chordata; Aves; Galliformes; Phasianidae.
GGCAGAUAUUAAAUUUGCCAAAUGAAAUGCCCAACAGACUUCACUACAGUAUUAAUUAGUGACUAUAUGAUUACCUAUGUCCUGCGUUCUGGUUGGGCUUUGAUUAUUUCUAAUGUUACAGCUUAAGGAUAAAUAACUUCAUUUGUGCAGUGAUAAACUGAAAGAAUUUCUGACUAAAACUGAAUUUUAACUCUUUCAGGUUUUCCCAGUCUCAGUGCAUCUGUGCUGGAUGCAGUGAUCUGUGUAAAGGAUCAUCAUUUGCUUUGGAGUGCUGAUGUACAUGUGAAGAUUUAAAUCUAGUUAUUUACUUGUUCACUUGUGGGAUUUGGCUGAAUGACCUGACUUAAAAGCAGAUGGAUAACCUUUCUUUGGUCCCAUUUCAAACCCAGCACAGGAUUUAUGAGAUGACAAUUGGCUCCAUCGUGUUCCAGGUGGCUGCUGGUGAUAUUACCAAGGAAAGUGGAGAUGUCAUCAUAGACAUAUCAAACCAAACUUUCAACCUCUAAACAGGUACUUCAGUCACUAUUAUGUGUGGAAAUAGGACUAUUUCCACAUGUAAUAGGAAGCACUAAGAAGGUGAGUGGGAAGCUUUCUUGUUAUUCUAUGCUACUGGAUAAUGCAUUUAAGACUUGCAGGAAAGUGAAAUUAUUAACUUCAAUUUUUCGAUAAUAUCUUUUAACACAACAUCUCUUAUAUUAAAGGAGAGGAAUGUUAUUGUGGCUUUUACUUCAGUGAAACUUCUUAGGUUUCUCAAGAUGUCUUUUGACUUGAAAUGCAUAAGCCUAAUAUUUAAAUGAUACUGUCCAAUUAUAAUUUGUGCUUUUACCAAAAAUGAGAGUAUGGAGUAUCUGAUUCUGCCUUCAAGACAAAAGAGCAUCUAAACCUUUGUAAAGAACAAGAUCUACCUAUGAUUGCAUCCUCUUAUUCUGGUAAAGCUUUAAAUGAUAUAGACAAGUCCACAGACUUGAACACAGGUAUGAGCUGAGGAUGAUGUUAGCAGAACUCUUAAUAGAGAAGCUGUGUCUCAUUAGGAG